This 648-nucleotide ribosomal RNA is filed under the name Staphylococcus capitis. Its description in RNAcentral is "bacterial SSU rRNA". It matches the Rfam family "Bacterial small subunit ribosomal RNA", at positions 64 to 693 of the family's 1533-position model. The record is from RNAcentral. Lineage: Bacteria; Bacillati; Bacillota; Bacilli; Caryophanales; Staphylococcaceae.
GAGCGAACAGACGAGGAGCUUGCUCCUCGUGACGUUAGCGGCGGACGGGUGAGUAACACGUGGAUAACCUACCUAUAAGACUGGGAUAACUUCGGGAAACCGGAGCUAAUACCGGAUAACAUGUUGAACCGCAUGGUUCAACAGUGAAAGACGGUCUUGCUGUCACUUAUAGAUGGAUCCGCGCCGCAUUAGCUAGUUGGUAAGGUAACGGCUUACCAAGGCAACGAUGCGUAGCCGACCUGAGAGGGUGAUCGGCCACACUGGAACUGAGACACGGUCCAGACUCCUACGGGAGGCAGCAGUAGGGAAUCUUCCGCAAUGGGCGAAAGCCUGACGGAGCAACGCCGCGUGAGUGAAGAAGGUCUUCGGAUCGUAAAACUCUGUUAUUAGGGAAGAACAAAUGUGUAAGUAACUAUGCACGUCUUGACGGUACCUAAUCAGAAAGCCACGGCUAACUACGUGCCAGCAGCCGCGGUAAUACGUAGGUGGCAAGCGUUAUCCGGAAUUAUUGGGCGUAAAGCGCGCGUAGGCGGUUUUUUAAGUCUGAUGUGAAAGCCCACGGCUCAACCGUGGAGGGUCAUUGGAAACUGGAAAACUUGAGUGCAGAAAAGGAAAGUGGAAUUCCAUGUGUAGCGGUGAAAUGCGCAA